UACGGAGGGUGCGAGCGUUGUCCGGAAUCACUGGGCGUAAAGGGCGCGUAGGCGGUUUGGUAAGCGUGCGGUGAAAGCCCGGGGCUCAACCCCGGGUCUGCCGUGCGAACUGCUGGACUAGAGCACUGUAGAGGCAGGUGGAAUUCCGAGUGUAGCGGUGGAAUGCGUAGAGAUUCGGAGGAACACCAGUGGCGAAGGCGGCCUGCUGGGCAGUAGCUGACGCUGAGGCGCGACAGCGUGGGGAGCAAAC
This 250-nucleotide ribosomal RNA is filed under the name uncultured bacterium. Its description in RNAcentral is "partial 16S ribosomal RNA". It matches the Rfam family "Bacterial small subunit ribosomal RNA", at positions 524 to 773 of the family's 1533-position model. The record is from RNAcentral.